RNAcentral lists this ribosomal RNA (1580 nucleotides) under metagenome. RNAcentral describes it as "bacterial LSU rRNA". It matches the Rfam family "Bacterial large subunit ribosomal RNA", at positions 1360 to 2925 of the family's 2925-position model. The record is from RNAcentral.
CCAAAAUCUUCCCAGGGUUAGUCGGGUCCUAAGGCGAGGCCGAGAGGCGUAGUCGAUGGCAAUCGGGUUAAUAAUCCCGAACCGCAAAUAACGCGUUAUUACCGAUGGGGUGACGCAUGGAGCAGAAUUUAGCCACUGAUGGAUGUGGCGGAUUGCGCGUAAGAUGUACAGGUGGCAAAUCCCCUGUACGCAUAUCUGAGACGCAGGACCUUUUGAGGGCUUCGGCCCAAAGAAGAGUAAUUCCGGUCUGUGCCAGGAAAAACCUCUAAGGGAGUUUUAUUUGUGCCCGUACCGUAAACCGACACAGGUAGACGAGGCGAAUAGCCUAAGGUGCUCGAGACAACUCGGGAGAAGGAACUCGGCAAAUUAACCCCGUAACUUCGGGAUAAGGGGAGCCUCCAUUUGUUAGUGUGAACAGCACAAAGCAUAAGGAGGCCGCAGAGAAAUGGCAGAAGCGACUGUUUACCAAAAACACAGGGCUAUGCAAACCCGUAAGGGAAAGUAUAUAGUCUGACACGUGCCCGGUGCUGGAAGGUUAACAGGAGAUGUCAGCGCAAGCGAAGCAUUGAAUCGAAGCCCCAGUAAACGGCGGCCGUAACGAUAACGGUCCUAAGGUAGCGAAAUUCCUUGUCGGGUAAGUUCCGACCUGCACGAAUCGUGUAACGACUUCUGCACUGUCUCCUCCCGGGACUCGGCGAAAUUGCAGUGUCGGUGAAGAUGCCGACAACCCGCACCUGGACGGAAAGACCCCAUGAACCUUCACUGUAUUUUGACAUUGGUUUUAGGCUUGACAUGUGUAGGAUAGGUGGGAGGCUUUGAAGCGGUGACGCCAGUCAUCGUGGAGCCAUCCUUGAAAUACCACCCUUGUCCGGUUUGAGAUCUAACCGUGGCCCGUCAUCCGGGUCCGGGACCGUGUCUGAUGGUCAGUUUGACUGGGGCGGUCGCCUCCUAAAUGGUAACGGAGGCAUCCAAUGGUUCCCUCAGCGCGGUCGGUAAUCGCGCGUAGAGCAUAAAGGCAUAAGGGAGCUUGACUGCGAGACAGACAUGUCGAGCAGGUACGAAAGUAGGGCUUAGUGAUCCCGCGGUACAGCGUGGAACGGCCGUUGCUCAAUGGAUAAAAGGUACUCUGGGGAUAACAGGCUGAUCUCCCCCAAGCGUUCAUAGCGACGGGGAGGUUUGGCACCUCGAUGUCGGCUCGUCGCAUCCUGGGGCUGGAGAAGGUCCCAAGGGUUUGGCUGUUCGCCAAUUAAAGCGGCACGCGAGCUGGGUUCAGAACGUCGUGAGACAGUUCGGUCCCUAUCCGGUGUGGGCGCACGAAAUUUGAGGGAACCUGUCCUUAGUACGAGAGGACCGGGACGGACGCACCUCUGGUGUACCGGCUGUCACGCCAGUGGCAUUGCCGGGUAGCUAUGUGCGGAUUGGAGAAACGCUGAAAGCAUCUAAGCGUGAAGCCAUUCCCAAGAUUAGAUUUCGCGGGGGCAACCCCCUAAAGGAUCGUUAGAGACCAUAACGUUGAUAGGUCACAGGUGUAAGCAUAGCGAUAUGUUGAGCCGAGUGAUACUAAUAGUCCGUGAGGCUUU